Molecule: ribosomal RNA, 248 nt
Filed under: uncultured bacterium
Lineage: Bacteria
Description: partial 16S ribosomal RNA
Rfam family: Bacterial small subunit ribosomal RNA
Source: RNAcentral
AUACGGAGGAUCCAAGCGUUAUCCGGAUUUAUUGGGUUUAAAGGGAGCGUAGAUGGAUGUUUAAGUCAGUUGUGAAAGUUCGGGGCUCAACCCCCGGAAUUGCAGUUGAUACUGGAUAUCUUGAGUACAGUUGAGGUAGGCGGAAUUCGUGGUGUAGCGGUGAAAUGCUUAGAUAUCACGAAGAACUCCGAUUGCGAAGGCAGCUUACUAAGCUGUAACUGACAUUGAGGCUCGAAAGUGUGGGUAUC